Molecule: ribosomal RNA, 445 nt
Filed under: uncultured bacterium
Lineage: Bacteria
Description: partial 16S ribosomal RNA
Rfam family: Bacterial small subunit ribosomal RNA
Source: RNAcentral
GUGAGGAAUAUUGCGCAAUGGAGGCAACUCUGACGCAGCCAUGUCGCGUGCAGGAAGAAGGCGCUACGCGUUGUAAACUGCUUUUAACCGGGAAGAAACCCCAGGACGUGUCCUGGGUUGACGGUACCGGAGGAAUAAGCACCGGCUAACUUCGUGCCAGCAGCCGCGGUAAUACGAAGGGUGCAAGCGUUAUCCGGAUUCAUUGGGUUUAAAGGGUGCGUAGGCGGAGCGUUAAGUCAGUGGUGAAAUCCUGCAGCUUAACUGUCGACUUGCCAUUGGUACUGGCGGUCUUGCGUGCGCUUGAAGUGGGCGGAAUGUGCCGUGUAGCGGUGAAAUGCUUAGAUAUGGCACAGAACACCAAUUGCGAAGGCAGCUCACUAAGGCGAUACUGACGCUGAGGCACGAAAGCGUGGGGAUCGAACAGGAUUAGAAACCCCUGUAGUCC